RNAcentral lists this transfer RNA (73 nucleotides) under Phlebotomus argentipes. RNAcentral describes it as "transfer RNA threonine (anticodon CGU)". It matches the Rfam family "tRNA". Rfam says of the family: Transfer RNA (tRNA) molecules are approximately 80 nucleotides in length. Their secondary structure includes four short double-helical elements and three loops (D, anti-codon, and T loops). Further hydrogen bonds mediate the characteristic L-shaped molecular structure. tRNAs have two regions of fundamental functional importance: the anti-codon, which is responsible for specific mRNA codon recognition, and the 3' end, to which the tRNAs corresponding amino acid is attached (by aminoacyl-tRNA synthetases). tRNAs cope with the degeneracy of the genetic code in two manners: having more than one tRNA (with a specific anti-codon) for a particular amino acid; and 'wobble' base-pairing, i.e. permitting non-standard base-pairing at the 3rd anti-codon position. The record is from RNAcentral. RNAcentral also lists the same sequence under 1 other name. Lineage: Eukaryota; Metazoa; Arthropoda; Insecta; Diptera; Psychodidae.
GCCCGGGUAGCUCAGUGGCCAGAGCACUGGUCUCGUAAACCAGGGGUCGUGAGUUCAAACCUCACCUCGGGCA